GACGAACCGUGCGAACGUUGUUCGGAAUCACUGGGCUUAAAGGGCGCGUAGGCGGGCUGUCAAGUCUGGGGUGAAAUGCCGCGGCUCAACCGUGGAACUGCCUCAGAUACUGUCGGCCUCGAGGAAGGUAGGGGCAUGCGGAACUGUAGGUGGAGCGGUGAAAUGCGUUGAUAUCUACAGGAACGCCGGUGGCGAAAGCGGCGUGCUGGACCUUUUCUGACGCUGAGGCGCGAAAGCUAGGGGAGCAAACGGG
Molecule: ribosomal RNA, 253 nt
Filed under: uncultured bacterium
Lineage: Bacteria
Description: partial 16S ribosomal RNA
Rfam family: Bacterial small subunit ribosomal RNA
Source: RNAcentral